GAUGAACGCUAGCGGGAGGCCUAACACAUGCAAGCCGAGCGGUAGAGUUUCUUCGGAAACUUGAGAGCGGCGCACGGGUGCGUAACACGUGUGCAACCUACCUUUAUCUGGGGGAUAGCCUUUCGAAAGGAAGAUUAAUACCCCAUAAUAUAAUGAUUGGCAUCAAUUAUUAUUGAAAACUCCGGUGGAUAGAGAUGGGCACGCGCAAGAUUAGAUAGUUGGUGAGGUAACGGCUCACCAAGUCAAUGAUCUUUAGGGGUCCUGAGAGGGAGAUCCCCCACACUGGUACUGAGACACGGACCAGACUCCUACGGGAGGCAGCAGUGAGGAAUAUUGGACAAUGGGUGAGAGCCUGAUCCAGCCAUCCCGCGUGAAGGAUGACGGUCCUAAGGAUUGUAAACUUCUUUUGUACAGGGAUAAACCUACCCUCGUGAGGGUAGCUGAAGGUACUGUACGAAUAAGCACCGGCUAACUCCGUG
Molecule: ribosomal RNA, 479 nt
Filed under: uncultured bacterium
Lineage: Bacteria
Description: partial 16S ribosomal RNA
Rfam family: Bacterial small subunit ribosomal RNA
Source: RNAcentral